Molecule: ribosomal RNA, 406 nt
Filed under: uncultured bacterium
Lineage: Bacteria
Description: partial 16S ribosomal RNA
Rfam family: Bacterial small subunit ribosomal RNA
Source: RNAcentral
AUUGAACGCUGGCGGCAGGCCUAACACAUGCAAGCCGAACGAGUGGCGGACGGGUUAGUAAUGUUUGGGAAACUGGCAGAUGGAGGGGGAUAACUACUGGAAACGGUAGCUAAUACCGCAUACAAUCGGAUCAGACCAGAUGGGAUUAGCUAGUAGGGGGGGUAAAGGCUCACCUAGCCGACGAUCCCUAGCUGGUAUGCGAGGAUGACAGGACACCCUUGGACUGAUAAACGGACCAGACUCCUACGGGAGGCAGCAGUGGGGAAUAUUGCACAAUGGGCGCAACCCUGAGGCAGGCAUGCCGCGCGUAUGAAGAAGGCCUUAGGUUUUUAAAGUACUUUCGGCAGGGAGGCGUUACCCGCAGAAGAAGCACCGGCUAACGCCGUGCCAGCCGCCGCGGUAAUUC